RNAcentral lists this ribosomal RNA (249 nucleotides) under uncultured bacterium. RNAcentral describes it as "partial 16S ribosomal RNA". It matches the Rfam family "Bacterial small subunit ribosomal RNA", at positions 84 to 334 of the family's 1533-position model. The record is from RNAcentral.
UUUGAUGGCGACCGGCGCACGGGUGAGUAACACGUAUCCAACCUGCCGAUGACUCGGGGAUAGCCUUUCGAAAGAAAGAUUAAUACCCGAUGGCAUAGUUCUUCCGCAUGGUAGAACUAUUAAAGAAUUUCGGUCAUCGAUGGGGAUACGUUCCAUUAGGUUGUUGGCGGGGUAACGGCCCACCAAGCCUUCGAUGGAUAGGGGUUCUGAGAGGAAGGUCCCCCACAUUGGAACUGAGACACGGUCCAA